Long non-coding RNA from Cephus cinctus (wheat stem sawfly), 984 nucleotides. RefSeq lists it as uncharacterized. The record is from RefSeq and is a predicted model, not a curated record. The transcript has 3 exons. Lineage: Eukaryota; Metazoa; Arthropoda; Insecta; Hymenoptera; Cephidae.
AAUGUGGCGCCGUGGGUGUGGUAAAACCGACGUCUAAAAAUAAAAGGGUCCGCUUUCGUUUUCCGCAGUUCCCGACCGCGAAUUUUAUUGCCGUCAGAUAAAUUAUAAUCAGCGGUCGAAAUGGAAACUAGGCCUUACUAUUGCUACACGUUAUACCCAAUCGUCAAUUCCUGGAACAAAAAAUCAGUAACUCAACAGGACGGUGGAGGUGAUCGCGUAGGAGGUGGCAAGUUGGCCGAUUGGCGUGAUAGGUGGGACACCACCUCCCACCAUUCGUGGUAAUUCGUGCUCCUGGAGGAAUAUUCGGGAACGCUAAGAAAUCCUUGGCUGCUCUUCAUCCAGUCAACGUCAAAAGCCUAAGGCGCAAACAAGUGCUCCGAUUCCGAGGUAGACUCAGGUCUCUUCAUAGUUUCACGAGUAUUCACGUACCUCGUAGACCAGACUGUACUUACUUUGUAUCUUGUACCUAGAGAUACCAUAGGAGAGGAAGAAGAUGCCGCAGCCAAGCGAAACGACCAAUAUCUUAACCACUUACCUUAUUCUCAUCUUACUAUUGAUCUCCCUUUGGAUCUUGUACGCCGGGAUUUUCUAAAAUGCAACACAUUCCUCGUGAUGGGCUGAGAAUGGAAGAACGGAAAGUCACCGGCUGAAGUCAUGGGAUUCUCAGCAGACGAUGCCACAGAUCGUCGUCGAUCAUCGCGACGUAUCUUAAUGCAAAUCAACUUUAACCUCAUCCAAUAGCAACUAAUAAAUCGUUAAUCAUCGGGAAGAACAACCCCAGCCAAUCAUCGUCAUCGGUCAUCCACCCGCGGCCGGGAGUCAAUCUUUUGUAAUCAAUAUGAUAAUUAAUUAAACUAUACAUGUACAGUGUUAACAUUUAGGUCACAGACCAAGAAGAUCAAACGCUUUUAGCGCGACGACAAAGUCUUGUUGAGAACAAGAAAAAAGAAACAAGACUCCAUUAAAGAAUAUUUUGUUUGUUAA